This 776-nucleotide ribosomal RNA is filed under the name uncultured Neocallimastigales. RNAcentral's name for it is "partial large subunit ribosomal RNA". It matches the Rfam family "Eukaryotic large subunit ribosomal RNA", at positions 24 to 647 of the family's 3401-position model. Lineage: Eukaryota; Fungi; Neocallimastigomycota; Neocallimastigomycetes; Neocallimastigales. The record is from RNAcentral.
GUAGUCUCGCACAGAUGCAUAUCAAUAAGCGGAGGAAAAGAAACUAACAAGGAUUCCCCUAGUAACGGCGAGUGAAGCGGGAAGAGCUCAAAUUUGAAAUCUUAAAGGGUUUCCCUUUACGAAUUGUAGUUUAAAGAAGUGUUUUCUGUUGAGGUUUUGGUAAAAGUUCUUUGGAAUAGGGACAUCAUAGAGGGUGAGAAUCCCGUAUUUGACCUUUACUUUCAACUUUGUGAUACACUUUCAAAGAGUCGGAUUGUUUGGGAUGCAGUCCAAAAUGGGUGGUAAAUUUCAUCUAAAGCUAAAUAUUGGCGAGAGACCGAUAGCGAACAAGUACCGUGAGGGAAAGAUGAAAAGAACUUUGAAAAGAGAGUUAAACAGUACGUGAAAUUGUCAAAAGGGAAGCGUUUGACACCAGUGUUGUUUUUCUGAAAAUCAAUUAAAGAACUGUUUAUGCUAAGCUGUUUAGACUUUAUCAGCUAAUCUGUUUAGUUUUGAGCUUUUCUUUAAUGCACUUUUCAGUUAACAAGUCAACAUCAAUUUCUUUUGCUGUAAAAAAGCUUGAGGAAGGUGGCUUGAGAUUCGUCUUAAGUGUUUAUAGCCUCUUGCCUAUGCAGUCGGAGAGAUUGAGGUCUGCAGCGUAGAUCCUUCGGGGCUAAAUGCAUUUGUGCUAAGUUAUAGCAUUUUAUAGACAACUUGUUGACUACUGAUUUGUCUUGUAGCUUACUCGCUUAUGUUAUUUUACCUACGCUUAGGAUGUUGAUCUGUAGUGCGUGCGC